GUGCUUUAAAACUAUUUCAUAAUCGUACAUCUGAUAUACUUAUUUAUUCGGUUUUGGUCGUUUCCACAGCUUUUCACGAAAUAUGCAACAUUCAUUGUACUAAAAUAUGGCACAUGAAUAUAAAUGAGGAAUGGAAAGUAUGGCAAUCUGGACCAUAUUAUGGGAUUAUUAAAUGUCACGCUGUUCCCUUUAAUUGCUCUUCCUCCUUUCAUGUGAUAUAGAGACAAAUUGGAGCAAAGGCUUAGAUUUUUCACUUUGAAAGCAUCCUUGACCU
This 274-nucleotide long non-coding RNA is filed under the name Nicotiana benthamiana. RNAcentral describes it as "long non-coding RNA (NBEN_LNC002173)". The record is from RNAcentral. Lineage: Eukaryota; Viridiplantae; Streptophyta; Magnoliopsida; Solanales; Solanaceae.